GACGUAGGGCGCAAGCGUUGUCCGGAAUUAUUGGGCGUAAAGAGCUCGUAGGCGGUCUGUUGCGUCCGCUGUGAAAACUCGGGGCUUAACCCCGAGCCUGCAGUGGAUACGGGCAGACUAGAGGUAGGUAGGGGAGAAUGGAAUUCCCGGUGUAGCGGUGAAAUGCGCAGAUAUCGGGAGGAACACCGGUGGCGAAGGCGGUUCUCUGGGCCUUACCUGACGCUGAGGAGCGAAAGCGUGGGGAGCGAACAGG
Molecule: ribosomal RNA, 253 nt
Filed under: uncultured bacterium
Lineage: Bacteria
Description: partial 16S ribosomal RNA
Rfam family: Bacterial small subunit ribosomal RNA
Source: RNAcentral